RNAcentral lists this ribosomal RNA (466 nucleotides) under uncultured bacterium. RNAcentral describes it as "partial 16S ribosomal RNA". It matches the Rfam family "Bacterial small subunit ribosomal RNA", at positions 28 to 507 of the family's 1533-position model. The record is from RNAcentral.
GAUGAACGCUGGCGGCGUGCUUAACACAUGCCAGUCGAACGGAAAGGCUCCUGCUUGCAGGGGUACUCGAGUGGCGAACGGGUGAGUAACACGUGGGUGAUCUGCCCAGCACUUCGGGAUAAGCCUGGGAAACUGGGUCUAAUACCGGAUAGGACGAUGGUUUGGAUGCCAUUGUGGAAAGUUUUUUCGGUGUGGGAUGAGCUCGCGGCCUAUCAGCUUGUUGGUGGGGUAAUGGCCUACCAAGGCGUCGACGGGUAGCCGGCCUGAGAGGGUGUACGGCCACAUUGGGACUGAGAUACGGCCCAGACUCCUACGGGAGGCAGCAGUGGGGAAUAUUGCACAAUGGGCGCAAGCCUGAUGCAGCGACGCCGCGUGGGGGAUGACGGCCUUCGGGUUGUAAACUCCUUUCGCCAGGGACGAAGCGCAAGUGACGGUACCUGGAGAAGAAGCACCGGCUAACUACGUG